GACAGAGGGUGCAAACGUUGUUCGGAAUUACUGGGCAUAAAGGGCACGUAGGUGGUGCGCUAAGUCACGUGUGAAAUCCCCCGGCUCAACCGGGGAAUUGCGCGUGAUACUGGCGGACUUGAGGCGGGUAGGGGUGAGCGGAACUCCAGGUGGAGCGGUGAAAUGCGUAGAUAUCUGGAGGAACACGGGUGGCGAAAGCGGCAUCCUGGACCGAAACUGACGCUGAGGAGCGAAAGCCAGGGGAGCAAACGGG
Molecule: ribosomal RNA, 253 nt
Filed under: uncultured bacterium
Lineage: Bacteria
Description: partial 16S ribosomal RNA
Rfam family: Bacterial small subunit ribosomal RNA
Source: RNAcentral